CUAGCUAACAAAGCACUCUAGGAAUUUGAACAAGCCAGCCAGUCUCCAGAGUUUGUGCCCUGAGUAAACUGCUUUGCUCUUUCUGACUUAAGGAUUAACUUAUGUCUUCCCUGAUGAUUUCUGGAUUAAUAAUCAGGGUCCUACAUUUCAGCACAAAAUGUGAUGUUUUUAUACUUCUUGUUGAUUCCAACUCUGUGCGUCCUGCUUAAAAUGCACAGUAUUUUGAUUCCAGUUAGUUACUUACACUGACUUCUAGCACCCUCUCCUGGCCACUGGGUGUGUAUGAUACAUACUGUUUGCUGAUGAGUUGGAGCUCUAGUAAGUGAAAUACAUCAAAAGUAGGGACUUGGCCAGAAAACUGGGAAAGGCCCUGAAAUAAAAGGCAGGUUCCAAAUCCAUACCUGAUGUGCUUAGACAAGAGGCUCUUCCUUGCAUGAUCUUGAUUUUCCCAGUCUCAAAGUGAGAGGAGUUGGUGAUGUUCUUUAUUUCUUCUGGUUUUAAUAAUUUGGGAUAAAUGUGCAUAAUUUAAUAAUUGUGGCUUGAAUGGAUGCUCCAGAUAUUGAAAUGUCAGGUGUUACCAAUGGAAAACAGAAAAGUCUUUUAAUUUUGAUACAACAAUAAUGUAUAUUGCUUGCUUCCUCCUGACUGCUGUAGGAGAAGUGCAUGCUGAGUAGGCUCCAUAAGCUGAAGGCCAGUAUGAAGGCAAUGCCCAGAACUCCUACCUGUAAGGAUGGCAGUGCCGAAGCUAGAAGAGAUAAAGACUCCAUGAGGGCUUGGAUCAAUGCCUGGGCCCUGUGAUUUGAAAUGGAAUAGCAUCCUCAUUCCAGAAAGAGAAGGCUGCCUUCAAGGUGAGACAAACCUCCAAGUCCAGCACACAGCACUCAACAUGCCACAUGGUAGAUGGCAUCCAAGGGACAGAGAUUUUUCCCUGAAGAAGGAGAAUAUGGGAUUUCCCACGGACCCCUGAAAAAAAAAAAGAACCAGUUCCUUUCGGAUUACCCAGAUCUUAAUUUACUACUUGAAAUCACUCUCUGUGAUUUGUUGGUUAUAGAUUGUCUAAAAUUAGGUCUCAAAGUUAAAUAUGAGGGUUGUCUUCAAGAUAUUUUAUGGGUUAUCCUGAAACCGGUGCCUGAUUUCUUUUUGGGUUUUGCUUGGGGUUUUACAAAAUUUCUUUUUCUUUAUUUAAUUGGUGUAUGUUUGUUUGCUUGUUUUUUUAACCUUAGUUUUCCCAUUUUUCUGGCAUAUUUUUUAAGUGCACUGCAUACUAUUAUCACUUGCCAGGCAUGGUGUAUAGUUUUACAUAGUUAUUGUUUUGCAUAUGUAUUGCUUCUUUAUUCCCUUCCCUCCUGGGUGCCCACUGUACUGUCUUUGACACAUGUCCUUAGAGCCUCUGCCUCUGCGAAUGAACUCAGUGUGAUGGGUGAAUAAUACAUUUGUAAUCCCUGUCUACAGCGUACAUUUCUGCCUGUUCAUGUCUGGAUUCCUGUCAGCGCUUUGCUCCACAGCUGGCAGUCACUGCAUCCUCUUCUUCCAAAGCCUGGUGUGCUCAUAGGUGUUUUUUUUUUUUUGUACCAGGGAUUGAACUCGGGUUCUUGCAGUUGUGGAUCAGGCAGCAGAACCACUGAGCUAAAUCCCCGGCCCUAGGUGGGGUUUUUGAAAGGUGAUUGGACCAUGGCACACUGUUACUAACCGUGCCGCGAGGGAAUGAGGGCCUGGAUGGAAGAGGUGGUCAUAGAGCUGUGACCUUGGAGAAUGUGUCUCCCUCCCUGAGCCUCCCCUUCUUCCUUUGCUUCCUGGGCACCAUGAGGUGAGCAGCUUUCCUCCACAGCAGACCCUUCCACUAGGCCCUUCUCCAUUACAGCCAGAUGUCUGUGAACUGAGAACUCUAAAGUCAGUGAGCCCAAAACAUCCUCUCCUCUUAAGGUUGUAGGUGUUGGGUACUUUGUCCCAGCAACAAGAAAAGUGACUAAGAAUGAGUACUUUGCUGUCACCAGCAGAGCUGUGACAGACACCUCACGAGGUUCCUUACAACCAGUGUAAGCCUUUCCCUGGGAAUGUAAGGCUAGGAUUGAUGGUUGGGGGACACACACACACACACACACACACACACACACACACACUCCUUUUCACUAUGUGCUGCCAGUGCUAUGAUAUUAUCUGGAAUUUUAACUUUUGCCAACUAGAUGGCUGUCAAGCAAGAUCUCACUGUUUUAAUAGGCAGUGAUAUGAUUAUGAGGAAGCUGAGGGUCAUUUUUAAUGGCUAGUCUGUUUUGCAGCAUUUCCUUCAGCUUCCUGCCUAUUUGAGUUCUUUAUAUACAGCUCUGGGUAGCAGAGCUGGAGUUCCAGCCAGUUGGCCUGGGAUAUACAUAGCCUGGCACUGCCAUUCAUGCAACCCAAGCAAGUUGCUUUCCAUCGUGGUCCCCUAGCUUCCUCAACUGUAAUAAGUAAAAACAGUUAAGUUCCUUAUAUGUUUGUGAAGAUUAAGUGAAUUAAAACCUAUAGAAUACUUAAAGGGCCAG
This 2519-nucleotide long non-coding RNA is filed under the name Heterocephalus glaber (naked mole-rat). Its description in RNAcentral is "lncRNA (ENSHGLG00000050408.1)". The record is from RNAcentral. Lineage: Eukaryota; Metazoa; Chordata; Mammalia; Rodentia; Bathyergidae.